UUGAUGUUUACUCCGUUUCGUAGAUGAGGAAAUUGAGGCAAGGAAAGGGGCCCCACCUGGUACAGGUUGUGCUCUUAGAACUGGUCUGACGGCGAUGAGCACAUGGGGUAGGGGCUGAUGCAAGCACAGACACAAGUUAAGCUCAGGGCUGAGAAGCAGCAAGCUGGUAUCUGCCCUCACCUCUUCCCUCUCUCCAGUUUCUGAACCUGGUUCCAGGGUCACACCUUGUGCAUGGACUAGAGUUUCAAUUCUCAAGUUUCUUUAAACGUCUCAAGACCUAAGAGUGAAACUGGGAUCCUGCUGUUCCAGGGAGGUAAUCCUCAAACUCUGGGGUCUCAGAUUCCCUUUACAUUCAAAUUUAGUGAAGAGCCUGUGCUCUGUUCAGUGUGACAACACAGAGCACAGUCUCUGGAAAAAUGGCAUCAUAUACCAAUGAGAGAAGGAAUGAAAAAGGCAAAAACAAUGCAGUGUUAACACGAAAAGAGGCUUGACCUUGUGGACUCCUGGAAGUGUUCGGGGGACUGCAUAUUCAGAAUACUGUCCUAGGGUUAAGCCUUCAAAUAGCACCCACCUG
Long non-coding RNA from Phacochoerus africanus (Common warthog), 574 nucleotides. RefSeq lists it as uncharacterized. NCBI's taxonomy places the organism in Eukaryota, Metazoa, Chordata, Mammalia, Artiodactyla, Suidae. The record is from RefSeq and is a predicted model, not a curated record. The transcript has 3 exons.